This 87-nucleotide non-coding RNA is filed under the name Cryptomonas paramaecium. The record is from RNAcentral. Lineage: Eukaryota; Cryptophyceae; Cryptomonadales; Cryptomonadaceae.
UUUUUUUUUUUUUUUUUUUUAUUUUUUUUUUUUUUUUUUUUUUUUCUUUUUUUUUUUCUUUUUUUUUCUGUGAAAGAAACAAGAAAU